ACUCAAAUGAAUUGACGGGGACCCGCACAAGCGGUGGAGCAUGUGGUUUAAUUCGACGGUAAGCGAGGAACCUUACCAAGGCUUGACAUGUAGCUGCAUCUCCUAGAGAUAGGAGCGCCUUCGAGGGUGCUACACAGGUGCUGCACGGUUGUCGUCAGCUCGUGCCGUGAGGUGUUCACUUAAGUGUGAAAACGAGCGCAACCCCUAUCAUGUGUUACAAGUGUCACAUGAGACUGCCGGCGUUUAAGCCGGAGGAAGGCGGGGAUGACGUCAAAUCAGCGUGGCUCUUACGCCUUGGGCGACACACGUGCUACAAUGGAUAAGUACAGUGGGACGCCAAAGAGCAAUCUGGAGCAAAUCCUAAAAAAUUAUCCUCAGUUCGGAUUGAGGGCUGCAACUCGCCCUCAUGAAGCUGGAAUCGCUAGUAACCGUAGAUCAGCCUCGCUACGGUGAAUACGUUCUCGGGUUUUGUACACACCGCCCGU
Molecule: ribosomal RNA, 485 nt
Filed under: uncultured bacterium
Lineage: Bacteria
Description: partial 16S ribosomal RNA
Rfam family: Bacterial small subunit ribosomal RNA
Source: RNAcentral